AUAAUGGGUCAGCGACUUAUAUUCUGUAGCAAGGUUAACCGAAUAGGGGAGCCGAAGGGAAACCGAGUCUUAACUGGGCGUUAAGUUGCAGGGUAUAGACCCGAAACCCGGUGAUCUAGCCAUGGGCAGGUUGAAGGUUGGGUAACACUAACUGGAGGACCGAACCGACUAAUGUUGAAAAAUUAGCGGAUGACUUGUGGCUGGGGGUGAAAGGCCAAUCAAACCGGGAGAUAGCUGGUUCUCCCCGAAAGCUAUUUAGGUAGCGCCUCGUGAAUUCAUCUCCGGGGGUAGAGCACUGUUUCGGCAAGGGGGUCAUCCCGACUUACCAACCCGAUGCAAACUGCGAAUACCGGAGAAUGUUAUCACGGGAGAC
RNAcentral lists this ribosomal RNA (373 nucleotides) under Escherichia coli. Its description in RNAcentral is "partial 23S ribosomal RNA". It matches the Rfam family "Bacterial large subunit ribosomal RNA", at positions 612 to 985 of the family's 2925-position model. The record is from RNAcentral. Lineage: Bacteria; Pseudomonadati; Pseudomonadota; Gammaproteobacteria; Enterobacterales; Enterobacteriaceae.